AGAUGACACAAUUUCCUCUAAAAGCAUGCGACAUCACAAGAACAUAAAGCAGAAAAAUAACAAAGGUAACUCGAAAGGUCCAUGGUAAAAUAAUGGCGGAACGUGUAAACUGAACGUAAACAGGUAGACUCCAGUGGAAACUUCUUGAUGUCAAUUGGUGAUCUCCCAUGACAGGAUGACGAUGACACCUUGAAUGUAGUCUUUAGUUCCUUGAGGUAUCUGGUUAAACUG
Pelobates cultripes (western spadefoot toad) is the source of this 231-nucleotide non-coding RNA. The record is from the annotation of a GenBank genome assembly. NCBI's taxonomy places the organism in Eukaryota, Metazoa, Chordata, Amphibia, Anura, Pelobatidae.